GUGACUCCCACUCCAGGCUUUCAUCGUCCUAUCCCCUAGAGGUCCUCUAAGACCUAAGAUGGCGGUGUUCGUACUGAGGGAAAGUACUGCCGGCGAACCAGGUGUGGAAAGCAGCCAAUGAACAAAUGUGAGGAAAGUACAGAAGCUCGCCAACUUUUGUUUUGUGAUGAGGACUUCUGGGCGUUUUAAUAUUAACAUUUGUUCUAGAAGCACAUUGUUCUGUUCAGAGUAUAUCCUGGAAGAAGUCACUCUGUAUCAGAUUUAGAGCAUGAGCGGAGGGGGGCAGGCAGAGGAGGAGAGAGAAGUAGACUCCCUGCUAAACAGGGAGCCCGAUGCGAGGCUGGAUCCCAGAACCCUGAGAUCAUGACCUGAGCCGAAGGCAGAUGUUCAGCUACCUGAGCCACCCAGGCCUCCCUUCCCUGAUGUCCUCUAAUGGUUGGAUGCCUAAACAAAUUCCGGGUGACUCCAUUUGUGCAGAUCUCCAUGGCAACAAAUGUGGCUUAAUACCAGAGAAAGCAUGCAUCUAGUCUACUUUGGAGUGAGAAAAAGAAGCCCUUUGGAGCUGGAGAAUAGGGUAAUUUUAGAGAUGAGAGAGCUGAAGAAGGGGAUCUCCUUAUUUUGUAUAUGAACUGAGGGUUUUUUAAGCUCAUUUUCAAUGUGAACAUGUAUGGGAUAGUCCAAAAUAAAGCAGAGAUAGCUUUUGGAAUUUAUAA
Molecule: long non-coding RNA, 713 nt
Organism: Ailuropoda melanoleuca (giant panda)
Lineage: Eukaryota; Metazoa; Chordata; Mammalia; Carnivora; Ursidae
Exons: 5
Source: RefSeq, a predicted model, not a curated record